Molecule: ribosomal RNA, 520 nt
Filed under: uncultured bacterium
Lineage: Bacteria
Description: bacterial SSU rRNA
Rfam family: Bacterial small subunit ribosomal RNA
Source: RNAcentral
AGAGUUUGAUCAUGGCUCAGGACGAACGCUGGCGGCGUGCUUAAUACAUGCAAGUCGAGCGGACCUUUGCCGUUUGUUGCCGGUUUCCGGCGACAAAUGGCAACGGUUAGCGGCGAACGGGUGAGUAACGCGUGGGUAAUCUGCCCCCAAGACCGGGAUAACAGGGCGAAAGCGCUGCUAAUACCGGAUGACCUCUCUUUAUCGCAUGGUGAAGGGAGCAAAGCUACGGCGCUUGGGGAUGAGCCCGCGUUCCAUUAGCUAGUUGGUGAGGUAACAGCUCACCAAGGCGACGAUGGAUAGCCGGCCUGAGAGGGUGACCGGCCACACUGGGACUGAGACACGGCCCAGACUCCUACGGGAGGCAGCAGUAGGGAAUUUUCGGCAAUGGGGGAAACCCUGACCGAGCAACGCCGCGUGAGGGAUGAAGGCCUUCGGGUCGUAAACCUCUGUCUUUGGGGACGAUAAUGACGGUACCCGAGGAGGAAGCCCCGGCUAACUACGUGCCAGCAGCCGCGGUAAU